Molecule: non-coding RNA, 31 nt
Filed under: Mus musculus (house mouse)
Lineage: Eukaryota; Metazoa; Chordata; Mammalia; Rodentia; Muridae
Source: RNAcentral
UNGUUGCCUGCAAUUCUUCAUCUAGGGUUGG